UAGGGAAUCUUCCGCAAUGGGCGAAAGCUUGACGGAGCAACGCCGCGUGAGUGAUGAAGGUCUUCGGAUCGUAAAACUCUGUUAUUAGGGAAGAACAAAUGUGUAAGUAACUAUGCACGUCUUGACGGUACCUAAUCAGAAAGCCACGGCUAACUACGUGCCAGCAGCCGCGGUAAUACGUAGGUGGCAAGCGUUAUCCGGAAUUAUUGGGCGUAAAGCGCGCGUAGGGGGUUUUUUAAGUCUGAUGUGAAAGCCCACGGCUCAACCGUGGAGGGUCAUUGGAAACUGGAAAACUUGAGUGCAGAGGAGGAAAGUGGAAUUCCAUGUGUAGCAGUGAAAUGCGCAGAGAGAUGGAGGAACACCAGUGGCGAAGGCGACUUUCUGGUCUGUAACUGACGCUGAUGUGCGAAAGCGUGGGGAUCAAACAGG
This 429-nucleotide ribosomal RNA is filed under the name Actinomycetes bacterium. Its description in RNAcentral is "Actinobacteria bacterium partial 16S ribosomal RNA". It matches the Rfam family "Bacterial small subunit ribosomal RNA", at positions 355 to 776 of the family's 1533-position model. Lineage: Bacteria; Bacillati; Actinomycetota; Actinomycetes. The record is from RNAcentral.